UACCUGGUUGAUCCUGCCAGUAGUCAUAUGCUUGUCUUAAAGAUUAAGCCAUGCAUGUCUAAGUAUAAGCAUUUAUACCGCGAGACUGCGAACGGCUCAUUAAAACAGUUAUGGUUUAUUUGAUGGUUCCUUUGCUACUUGGAUAACCGUAGUAAUUCUAGAGCUAAUACAUGCACGAAGGGGCGACUCACGAAGCCCUGUGUUUAUUAGAUUAAAGCCAACCACCUCCGGGUGUUCGUGGUGAAUCAUGGUAACCUAUCGGAUCGCCGGCUCUACGCCAGCGACGUGUCAUUCAAAUUUCUGCCCUAUCAGCUUUAGAUGGUAGGAUAUGGGCCUACCAUGGCGGUGACGGGUAACGGAGAAUUAGGGUUCGAUUCCGGAGAGGGAGCCUGAGAAACGGCUACCACUUCUAAGGAAGGCAGCAGGCGCGCAAAUUACCCAAUCCUGACUCAGGGAGGUAGUGACAAGAAAUAACAAUAAACCGGCUUAUGCCGGUUUAAUUGGAAUGAGUACAAUUUAAACAUCUUAACGAGGAACAAUUGGAGGGCAAGUCUGGUGCCAGCAGCCGCGGUAAUUCCAGCUCCAAUAGC
This 590-nucleotide ribosomal RNA is filed under the name uncultured marine eukaryote. RNAcentral describes it as "SSU rRNA". It matches the Rfam family "Eukaryotic small subunit ribosomal RNA", at positions 1 to 598 of the family's 1831-position model. The record is from RNAcentral.